CCGACAAGCAGCGGAGCGUGUGGUUAAUUCGAUGCAACGCGAAGAACCUUACCAAGGCUUGACAUGCCAGAAGUAGGAACUUGAAAGAGAGACCACCUCGUAUUCAGUCAGGAACUGGCACAGGUGCUGCAUGGCUGUCGUCAGCUCGUGCCGUGAGGUGUUAGGUUAAGUCCUGCAACGAGCGCAACCCUCGUCGCUAGUUAAAUUUUCUAGCGAUACUGCCCGUAUAACGUGGAGGAAGGUGGGGAUGACGUCAAGUCAGCACGGCCCUUACAUCCUGGGCUGCACACACGCUACAAUGGGUGAUACAACAGGUUGCAAUAGAGCGAUCUGGAGCCAAUCCCUAAAAUCAUCCUCAGUACGGAUUGCAGGCUGCAACUGCCUGCAUGAAGUUGGAGUUGCUAGUAAACGCAGGUCAGCACACUGCGUUGAAUACGUUCUCGGGCCUU
RNAcentral lists this ribosomal RNA (449 nucleotides) under uncultured Chloroflexota bacterium. RNAcentral's name for it is "bacterial SSU rRNA". It matches the Rfam family "Bacterial small subunit ribosomal RNA", at positions 921 to 1382 of the family's 1533-position model. The record is from RNAcentral. Lineage: Bacteria; Bacillati; Chloroflexota.